RNAcentral lists this transfer RNA (74 nucleotides) under Enterococcus phage iF6. RNAcentral's name for it is "tRNA-Thr". Lineage: Duplodnaviria; Heunggongvirae; Uroviricota; Caudoviricetes; Herelleviridae. The record is from RNAcentral.
UGCUGAUACUAGGACUCGAACCUAGAAGUAUACACAUUACAAGUGUGUCCCGUUACCAAUUACGGAAUAUCAGC